Molecule: non-coding RNA, 296 nt
Organism: Kogia breviceps (pygmy sperm whale)
Lineage: Eukaryota; Metazoa; Chordata; Mammalia; Artiodactyla; Physeteridae
Source: RefSeq, a predicted model, not a curated record
GUUUGAAUCAGAUCCAAAAUCUGGGGGUAUUCUAAAGCACAUGGCGUCAGGCUGCAGUUCAUGACCCGUGGCAGACUAACCUAAGUCCUGUUACACAAGUGGGUGGCCUUGUGACUAAUCAUGAAAUGAGCACUGGGUUUGUUCCUGGAAAAUUAGGAUUCAAUCCAGGAAGAACACGGUAAGCUGACCACGCCUCCUUCACUUUUGUUGAAGAUUUGGCUGUGUAUUGUCCCUGGAAAAUGUUUUAUUUUAGAAAACCCACCUGAAGAAAGAUGUGUGGAAAGAGAUCUGAGAAA